Molecule: ribosomal RNA, 492 nt
Filed under: uncultured bacterium
Lineage: Bacteria
Description: bacterial SSU rRNA
Rfam family: Bacterial small subunit ribosomal RNA
Source: RNAcentral
ACUCAAAUGAAUUGACGGGUACCCGCACAAGCGGUGGAGCAUGCUGUUUAAUUCGAAAAUACGCGAAGAACCUUACCUAGGUUUGACAUCCCGUGCGAAGCUAUAGAAAUAUAGUGGAGGUUAUCACGGUGACAGAUGGUGCAUGGUUGUCGUCAGCUCGUGUCGUGAGAUGUUUGGUUAAGUCCAACAACGAGCGCAACCCCUAUCUUUAGUUGCUAACAUUUAGUUGAGAACUCUAAAGAUACUGCCGGUGUAAGCCGGAGGAAGGUGGGGAUGAGGUCAAAUCAUCAUGCCUCUUACACCUAGGGCUACAGGCGUGCUACAAUGGCUGGUACAACGAGUCGCAACAUGGUGACAUGAAGCUAAUCUCUUAAAGCCAGUCCCAGUUCGGAUUGGAGUCUGCAACUCGACUCCAUGAAGUUGGAAUCGCUAGUAAUCCCGAAUCAGAAUGUCGGGGUGAAUACGUUCCCGGGUAUUGCACACACCGCCCGU